UACGGAGGGUGCAAGCGGUAUCCGGAAUCACUGGGUUUAAAGGGUGCGUAGGUGGCAUCGUAAGUCAGAAGUGAAAGUUUGCGGCUUAACCGUAAAAUUGCUUUUGAUACUGCAAUGCUUGAAUCAGGUUGAGGUUGGCGGAAUGUGGCAUGUAGCGGUGAAAUGCUUAGAUAUGCCAUAGAACACCGAUUGCGAAGGCAGCUGACUGGACCUGUAUUGACGCUGAGGCACGAAAGCGUGGGGAGCGAACAGG
This 253-nucleotide ribosomal RNA is filed under the name uncultured bacterium. RNAcentral's name for it is "partial 16S ribosomal RNA". It matches the Rfam family "Bacterial small subunit ribosomal RNA", at positions 524 to 776 of the family's 1533-position model. The record is from RNAcentral.